This 257-nucleotide ribosomal RNA is filed under the name uncultured bacterium. RNAcentral's name for it is "partial 16S ribosomal RNA". It matches the Rfam family "Bacterial small subunit ribosomal RNA", at positions 524 to 776 of the family's 1533-position model. The record is from RNAcentral.
UACGUAGGGUGCGAGCGUUAAUCGGAAUUACUGGGCGUAAAGCGUGCGCAGGCGGUUCGUUGUGUCGGCGGUGAAAGCCCCGGGCUUAACCUGGAAGUGGCCGUUGAAACUGGCGAACUGGAGUGUGGCAGAGGGGGGGGUGGAAUUCCGCGUGUAGCAGUGAAAUGCGUAGAGAUGCGGAGGAACACCGAUGGCGAAGGCAGCCCCCCCUGGGCUAACACUGACGCUCAGGCACGAAAGCGUGGGGAGCGAACAGG